GGAGGAGGAGGAGGAGGAGGAAGAGGAGGAAAUGCCAAGAAAGGUGGUGAUGAUUUUGAGAUACCUUUGGUCAUGAAGGGCAAAGGCAACAAUAAUGAUGGGAAGAACGGGAAUGGAGGAAAGAAAGGUGGAGGUGGUGGUGAUGGGAAGAAUGGUCAUAGCAAGGGAGGGAGUGUAAAACAAGAUGGUAAAGAUAAAAAUGGCAGCAAAAGUGGGAUUGGAGGGUUCUUGAGUUUUGGGAGGAAGAGUAAAAAUGGAAGAGAAAGUAGUACUGAUAAGAGCUUCAAUAAUGGUGGCUCAGCUGGAAACAAUAAUUCCAAUGGGACCAAGAAAGGUGGAGGCAAAAACGAUAGGGUCCAUGAUUCUAACAAAAUGAAAAAUGGAUACCAUGAAAUUGAUGUUAAUAGGGGUGGUGGUGGUGGUGGUGGUG
Molecule: unclassified non-coding RNA, 430 nt
Filed under: Hevea brasiliensis (rubber tree)
Lineage: Eukaryota; Viridiplantae; Streptophyta; Magnoliopsida; Malpighiales; Euphorbiaceae
Source: RNAcentral